UACGUAGGGGGCUAGCGUUGUCCGGAAUCAUUGGGCGUAAAGAGCGCGUAGGCGGCCAGAUAAGUCCGGUGUGAAAGUCAAAGGCUCAACCUUUGAAUGCCGCUGGAAACUGUCUGGCUAGAGUGCGGAAGAGGCGAGUGGAAUUCCUGGUGUAGCGGUGAAAUGCGCAGAUAUCAGGAGGAACACCUAUUGCGAAGGCAGCUCGCUGGGACGUAACUGACGCUGAGACGCGAAAGCGUGGGGAGCAAACAGG
RNAcentral lists this ribosomal RNA (253 nucleotides) under uncultured bacterium. Its description in RNAcentral is "partial 16S ribosomal RNA". It matches the Rfam family "Bacterial small subunit ribosomal RNA", at positions 524 to 776 of the family's 1533-position model. The record is from RNAcentral.